UACGUAGGGUGCAAGCGUUGUCCGGAAUUAUUGGGCGUAAAGAGCUCGUAGGCGGUUUGUCGCGUCGGCUGUGAAAUCCCGAGGCUCAACCUCGGGCCUGCAGUCGAUACGGGCAGACUUGAGUGUUGCAGGGGAGACUGGAAUUCCUGGUGUAGCGGUGAAAUGCGCAGAUAUCAGGAGGAACACCGGUGGCGAAGGCGGGUCUCUGGGCAACAACUGACGCUGAGGAGCGAAAGCGUGGGGAGCGAACAGG
This 253-nucleotide ribosomal RNA is filed under the name uncultured bacterium. Its description in RNAcentral is "partial 16S ribosomal RNA". It matches the Rfam family "Bacterial small subunit ribosomal RNA", at positions 524 to 776 of the family's 1533-position model. The record is from RNAcentral.